This 480-nucleotide ribosomal RNA is filed under the name uncultured bacterium. RNAcentral describes it as "bacterial SSU rRNA". It matches the Rfam family "Bacterial small subunit ribosomal RNA", at positions 25 to 518 of the family's 1533-position model. The record is from RNAcentral.
CAGGAUGAACGCUGGCGGCGUGCCUAACACAUGCAAGUCGAACGAAGCAUGUCCCUUCGGGGAGAUGACUGAGUGGCGGACGGGUGAGUAACGCGUGGGUAACCUGCCCUUUACAGGGGGACAACAGUCAGAAAUGACUGCUAAUACCGCAUGAGCGCACGAGGGGGCAUCCUCUCGUGUGAAAAACUGAGGUGGUAAAGGAUGGGCCCCGCGUCUGAUUAGCUGGUUGGCGGGGUAACGGCCCACCAAGGCGACGAUCAGUAGCCGGUCUGAGAGGAUGAACGGCCACAUUGGAACUGAGACACGGUCCAAACUCCUACGGGAGGCAGCAGUGAGGGAUAUUGCACAAUGGGGGGAACCCUGAUGCAGCAAACCGCCGCGUGGGUGAAGAAGUAUUUCGAUAUGUAAAGCCCUAUCAGCAGGGAAGGUGAUGACGGUACCUGACGAAGAAGCUCCGGCUAAAUACGUGCCAGCAGCAGC